GUGUCAUGCAGUCAUGAACAUCAAGCCUGUCUGAGCCAUCCUGUCGGUCAGAAGAACACAGAAUAGUAUCAAUAAAUGUCAUGGCGAAUCAGGUGUGCUGCUCGCUUUUAUAGUGAGAUUUGCAUAUGUUGUGUAGUUAUGUUUGCUAGAAUGGUCAUGACCUGGUGAUUGGUGUGUAGAAUAGUGUCAUGUGAGAGUGUGAGCUUCUCGCAGUCCCUUAUCAUGAUAGAGCAAGCUGCUACUGCCCUCAGGCAGGCCGGCAUUCCUGAACAACCACGGACAGCACCUUUGAGUGGCGGAGGUCAGCACUCCCUUUAAUGCAUUGAAAGAGGCAGUCAUUUCUGUGGAUCACAGUAUUCGAGGAGGCUUGUCUUUUUUACAACAGUCACGCAGAAUGUGGUCAUGAAAAGAACAGUCUGGUAUCCACUGUCUGCAAUAGUUCACCAUGCUCAGGAAGGACAACAUUUCCUUCUGUGUAGUGGGCCGAGGGACAGAGGUCACAGCUUUGACCCUGUCUGCAGUCAUGGAACGUUUUCCGUGAGACAGUGUGAAUCCCAAAUAUUGAACAGAAGUCUGACAGUACUGCAUUUUCUUUGCUGAUGCUUUGUGGCCAGUCUUUUGGAGGUGCUGGAGAAGCAUGUGUGUAGCAGUUAGACAUAGUUUUUCACUUUCAGCACAGAGGAGGAGGUCAUCCACAUGUGGAUCAGAGUACAGCCCUCAGGAGGAGUACCAUAGAGAAAGCAGCAGAGCUGUCUAUCAUGCCUUGGGGCAAACGAGUUCAAGUGUACCGCUUAUUUCUAUGUGUGAAUGCAAAUAACGGCUGUGUGUCUUCAUGAGAAAAAGGAGCGGAGCAUAAAUCCACCACGGUAAAAUGUGUAUGCAAUGCAUGUCAAUAUGCUGUGAACAUCUGAAACGAGAGGUGGCAGAGGAAUGUUGACUGCAUUAAUUUGCCUCAAGUCUUGUAUGAAACGCCAUACGCCAGGUUUGUUAGGCUUUGGCACAGGAUUGACAGGAGUGUGGGCUUUAUUACUCCUGUAGUCAAUAAAUCUCCUAUGAUGACAUCUAGAGCUGCGGCUUUUUCCGUGGAAAGGGGACAUUGCCUGACAUAUACUCGCUUUUUGUUUUUUUUUAGCUGUACGUGAUAAGGUAUGCAGUCAAUAAAUCCUAUAUCAUUCUCACUUUUUGACCAUAAUGUCAUAUUCUGGUAUGCAGCUGGCAAUGUAACUGCAGAAAUAGUACAGUGGAUAGGGUAGGUUAGAUCUAUGUGACGACAUAUUUCGUAACCUAUGUCUGAGUUUUGUAACAAAAUCACUGUUUGACCUUCACUUGUGUGAGCAGUUAUCAUGUUGUUGAACAGUGUGAGAGAAACAAAAGUGUGGCUCCCAGUCAUGGGAUUACCUGUUAGUGGCGUCUGUACACGUUUUUUUUUUGGCACAGUGUGUGACAUAGAGUACCGGACAAAAAGGAUGUUGAGUUCAUUCUCUGCUGAGGGUCCAGCUGACACAGAGGAUGUUCCUUCUCCAUCAUGUCGGUACAUAGGGCAGAGAAAACAUAAGCUGUUAUCAGUGUCAGCAAACAUUUCACCCUUUAUGUUAAAUGAAAUACACAAAUUCAUUUUUGCUUUGGGUGUCUGCGGCUGCUGGAAAACUGAGCUGAAUUUGCACCUCUAGCUUGUCCAACAGUGCAUAAAGCGUUUUAUGAAUACUAGGAUAGAUUCAUCAGGCUUCUGUUUACACAUAGUUACUGCAUUUAAGUCAAUUUUGUCUCUGGACAUUGUUAGCAGGAAUUUCUUUAGAUUCUUAAAGAAAUCGGCGACUUUGUCAUGUGGGUGUCUAUUGUGGACACUGCCUGAUGCAAAAGUUUUUCUUCAUAGUCGUCUAAAUUGUUUUUCAUAAGUUCCUCACAUUCUUCUUUCAAAAGUUUUUCUCUUUUUUUUUUAUGUUCUGCUAAUUCUUCCUCGCGGCGUAUAUAUUGUUUUUCCUGAUCUUGUUUAAAGAGAUGGCUAAGAUCCGUUGCAUGUGAUUCAGAUUUUUUGUCACUGUCUUUUAAGCUGGUUGGAUCAGAAUGCUGACAUUGUUUGCGUGCAGCUGCUGCAGCAACUAUUAAUUCGGUCUCAUCUUCGUAAGGCGGCGGGGCUGUGGGCUGAAUGGCUGAGCAUGGAAGACUAGCUUUUCCCGCAGUAGAUUUAUUUUCUUUGCUAGAGCCUGCACUAGUUUUAUUUGAUGUUAAAGCAUCUACACCUGGUUCCGGUCCCUUUUUCCAUAGUGGUAACAUUUGAUGUAUCACGUCGCGGCAUUCUAUCAUAUAUUUUCUACAGGACUUUUUAAGCAGACUACUUUUCUUAUCACAAAUGAUAUUCAACAUUUCUACUGACCUGUUUUCUGGCGAUAAUCGUUCGGGAUAAGGCUCCGAAAAGAAAUUAGAAUGCAUUGAACUUCUUAAGUUGUAAACAAAGUCAGUCACAUAAGCACUCCCGCAUGUUCUGGAUACGUGAUCAUGGACGUCUUCACCGAUUCGCGGACGCAGGUUACACGUAACCGGAAAUGGGAGUUAUACUGAGCCGUUAUUUGAGACUUUAUUUUGUAUUUUAUUAAUUUUUGGUUUUACAGGUACUUUAGAUUUUUUAUCGGACCUGUCUGUGGUCUUUGAAUUAUUCUGACCCAUGUUCAGUGAUUUCCAGAGGGGUUUACACGCUAGGAGGAUUUAGGUUAGUAUUUUCGCUGCGGCACAGCUGAGGUCACUUUAAAUUUAUUGCUAGCAAUUUUUUGUUUGUGUGAGCAACUCUCACUUAGCGAGCAACUUCUCGCUUAACGAGCAACUUCUCGUAAAACAACAGGCAACUUCCUGUGUUCUUUCUGCUUUUAAUUUACUGCUUUUAACCCUUGUAUGGUAAUCGGGUCUGUGAGACCCGUUUUCAGUUUUCUUUCGUUUUUUUUUUUUUUUAACAAAAUUAAAUUUAAUUAUUUACUAGCUUUCUGUGAGUGAGCAACUUCUCACUUUUUAACGUACGUUUCAAGAUAACAGGCAACUUCCUGUGUCCACCAACACCACACAAGGGUUAAUUUACUUUAUUCGGGGACUGAGGAAGUCAGUCAGUGUAUCUCUCUGGAUCACUAAGUGAAACUUCGUCAGCAUAUCCCGUUUUUUUAUGGAUUCGGGGACUGAGGAAGUCAGUCAGUGUAUCUCUCUGGAUCACUAAGUGAAACUUCGUCAGCAUAUCCCGUUUUUUUAUGGAUCGAUCACUGAGAGAGGUAUAAUAUGGUCUCUAUAUAAAUAUGAAAGACACAUAUUUACCUUCUGUCAGGAUCCCACUUCUGACACCAAAAUUGAAGGAAAUUGCCUUCCCGGGUUUCCUCCGUGGCGUGAGCGAUAAGCAGAGUUUGUCCUUUCCUUAUAAGACUCCUAAUUAUUCAAAGUAACACUCAGGUAUGCCAUUCAGCGUGUUUAGUACGAGCUCGGGAGCAGCUUGGGAGAACAAGAAAACAGAGACUGCUUUAGGUUGCCUUCC
Astatotilapia calliptera (eastern happy) is the source of this 3508-nucleotide long non-coding RNA. NCBI's taxonomy places the organism in Eukaryota, Metazoa, Chordata, Actinopteri, Cichliformes, Cichlidae. The record is from Ensembl.